Molecule: ribosomal RNA, 484 nt
Filed under: uncultured bacterium
Lineage: Bacteria
Description: partial 16S ribosomal RNA
Rfam family: Bacterial small subunit ribosomal RNA
Source: RNAcentral
AGUGAACGCUGGCGGCAGGCCUAACACAUGCAAGUCGAGCGGCAGCGCGGGGGCAACCCUGGCGGCGAGCGGAGGACGGGUGAGGAAUUCGUCGGAAUCUGCCUGUUUGUGGGGGAUAACGUAGGGAAACUUACGCUAAUACCGCAUACGUCCUACGGGAGAAAGUGGGGGACCGCAAGGCCUCACGCAGAAAGAUGAGCCGACGACCGAUUAGCUAGUUGGUGGGGUAAAGGCCCACCAAGGCGACGAUCGGUAGCUGGUCUGAGAGGAUGAUCAGCCACACUGGGACUGAGACACGGCCCAGACUCCUACGGGAGGCAGCAGUGGGGAAUAUUGGACAAUGGGCGCAAGCCUGAUCCAGCCAUGCCGCGUGUGUGAAGAAGGCCUUCGGGUUGUAAAGCACUUUUGUCCGGAAAGAAAUCCCUGGAGCUAAUACCUUCGGGGGAUGACGGUACCGGAAGAAUAAGCACCGGCUAACUUCGUG